GAGUUUGAUCCUGGCUCAGGACGAACGCUGGCGGCGUGCCUAAUACAUGCAAGUCGAGCGGACAGAUGGGAGCUUGCUCCCUGAUGUUAGCGGCGGACGGGUGAGUAACACGUGGGUAACCUGCCUGUAAGACUGGGAUAACUCCGGGAAACCGGGGCUAAUACCGGAUGCUUGAUUGAACCGCAUGGUUCAAUUAUAAAAGGUGGCUUUUAGCUACCACUUACAGAUGGACCCGCGGCGCAUUAGCUAGUUGGUGAGGUAACGGCUCACCAAGGCAACGAUGCGUAGCCGACCUGAGAGGGUGAUCGGCCACACUGGGACUGAGACACGGCCCAGACUCCUACGGGAGGCAGCAGUAGGGAAUCUUCCGCAAUGGACGAAAGUCUGACGGAGCAACGCCGCGUGAGUGAUGAAGGUUUUCGGAUCGUAAAACUCUGUUGUUAGGGAAGAACAAGUACCGUUCGAAUAGG
Molecule: ribosomal RNA, 470 nt
Filed under: Bacillus sp. R-24620
Lineage: Bacteria; Bacillati; Bacillota; Bacilli; Caryophanales; Bacillaceae
Description: bacterial SSU rRNA
Rfam family: Bacterial small subunit ribosomal RNA
Source: RNAcentral